AAAAAGGCAAACCCUGGGUUUCCGUGUCCAACUUUGACUGUCCGUCUUAUAUGAAAUUUUUUUAUAAUUCGUAUUUUCAUUGUUGUUAGAUGAUAAAACAUGAUUAAUAUUUUAUACAUGACUUGUCUUUUUAAUUUUUUUCAUAUUUUUUUCAAAUAAGACGAACGGUUAAACAUUGUGCACGAAAAUCAGAGUUUGUCUUUUU
Oryza rufipogon (brownbeard rice) is the source of this 205-nucleotide microRNA precursor. It matches the Rfam family "MIR812 microRNA precursor family". The record is from Rfam. Lineage: Eukaryota; Viridiplantae; Streptophyta; Magnoliopsida; Poales; Poaceae.